AAUACAUCGGAACGUGCCUAGUAGUGGGGGAUAACAACUCGAAAGAGUGGCUAAUACCGCAUGAGAUCUACGGAUGAAAGCAGGGGAUCGCAAGACCUUGUGCUACUAGAGCGGCCGAUGGCAGAUUAGGUAGUUGGUGGGAUAAAAGCUUACCAAGCCGACGAUCUGUAGCUGGUCUGAGAGGACGAUCAGCCACACUGGGACUGAGACACGGCCCAGACUCCUACGGGAGGCAGCAGUGGGGAAUUUUGGACAAUGGGCGCAAGCCUGAUCCAGCAAUGCCGCGUGCAGGAUGAAGGCCUUCGGGUUGUAAACUGCUUUUGUACGGAACGAAAAGCCCUGGGUUAAUACCCUGGGGUCAUGACGGUACCGUAAGAAUAAGCACCGGCUAACUACGUGCCAGCAGCCGCGGUAAUACGUAGGGUGCGAGCGUUAAUCGGAAUUACUGGGCGUAAAGCGUGCGCAGGCGGUUUUGUAAGACAGAGGUGAAAUCCCCGGGCUCAACCUGGGAACUGCCUUUGUGACUGCAAGGCUAGAGUACGGCAGAGGGGGAUGGAAUUCCGCGUGUAGCAGUGAAAUGCGUAGAUAUGCGGAGG
RNAcentral lists this ribosomal RNA (596 nucleotides) under uncultured bacterium. RNAcentral's name for it is "bacterial SSU rRNA". It matches the Rfam family "Bacterial small subunit ribosomal RNA", at positions 112 to 704 of the family's 1533-position model. The record is from RNAcentral.